Non-coding RNA from Priapulus caudatus, 65 nucleotides. NCBI's taxonomy places the organism in Eukaryota, Metazoa, Priapulida, Priapulimorpha, Priapulimorphida, Priapulidae. The record is from the annotation of a RefSeq genome assembly.
GGCCUAUAAGCAUUUUAGAUGCAACUGGUUUCGACCCAGAAGAGAAAUGGAAACAUUAUAGGUUG